Long non-coding RNA from Oncorhynchus tshawytscha (Chinook salmon), 2717 nucleotides. The record is from Ensembl. NCBI's taxonomy places the organism in Eukaryota, Metazoa, Chordata, Actinopteri, Salmoniformes, Salmonidae.
GGGGAGGGGAGACGGGGUGCGGAGUAGGAAUCAGGGAGAGUGUGUGUAAGAAAGGGAGGGACCCUUCCCGGAAUAUGGGUGAUUAAAAAUAGGGAAUAGGGACAAUGCGGGUGCCUUGACUGUGAGUGACGUAAGAGGGGGAGGUAUUCAAUAUUUAAAAGGUAUUCUGAAGACGAAAGGAGAACUCCAUCAAUCCUCCAUCUUGUCCUUUGCCAAACCUCACCAUCAAAUGGACAGACAUAGUGAGAAGAGGGGUAGGAAAGGGCUGGAAACCCUGAAAUAUCCCUACAUGCCCCAAGUCAAUUUCAAUUUAAGGGGCUUUAUUGGCAUGGGAAACAUAUGUUUAAAUUGCUAAUGCCAGUUGAAUAGAUAAGAAACAAAAGUUGAAUAGACAAUAAAAAAUGUACAGUAAACAUUACACUUACAAAAGUUCAAAAAGAAUAAAGACAUUUCAAAAGUCAUUAUGUCUAUGUACAGUGUUGUAAUGAUGUGCAAAUAGUUAGUAGUUACAAAAAGUACAAAAAGGAAAAUGAAUAAAACAUAAAACAUGGGUUGUAUUUACAAUGGUGUGUGUUUUUCACUGGUUGCCCUUUUCUUUUGUCUAAUCUUGCUGCUGUGAUUGCACACUGUAGUAUUUUACAGAUUGUACACUGUGGAUUGUACACCGUGUAAUCUGAGGGAAAUAUGUGUCUCUAAUAUGGUCAUACGAUUGGCAGGAUGUUAGGAAGUGCAUCUCAGUUUCCACCUCGUUUUGUGGCCAGUGUGCACAUAGCAAAUCUCUUUACUUACUUACUGGGAUUACAAACGCAUAUCAGGUUAGGCAGCUAAUUGUUGACCGGGUAUGACUCAUAUAGAUCAAUGUGGGUAAUGGAGGAAACAUCCGGGUCAAAGCCUGGUAAAGAGAGAAAGGAGGUAGAAGACCUCUAAGAAGUUAUUAUGGGCAUCUUUAUUUCACAAUGAGACAGUGGCUUAUUAUCAAGUAUCAAAACCCAGUGGAUGAUUUCUAACGUAAUAACAACAUCAACGGAGGUUGAACAAUGUGCUGGUGAAUUGACUUCAUGCACACCCAUCAUAGACAUAGUCGCUCAGUAAAGUUCCUCCUCUCCUGGACUAGAGACGCCAACAACCAGGGUCAUCAGCAGAUUGCUGAGAAGAAUUCUCGUCUAGCGCGGAUACUGAACCACACCGCUCUGGGUAUCGGCAUCACCGUCAUCGUCCUGUACAUCGUCUCUGCCAUCAUCCUGGGCAACCGUAUCAACUGAUCUGACACCUCAACACCGGCUAGCACCACAGCCACCGCUUCUCUCAACCCCAGCACCCAAAAUCAUCAUAACCUUGACCACAUACAAUAGAGACGCCAACAACCAGGGUCAUCAGCAGAUUGCUGAGAAGAAUUCUCGUCUAGCGCGGAUACUGAACCACACCGCUCUGGGUAUCGGCAUCACCGUCAUCGUCCUGUACAUCGUCUCUGCCAUCAUCCUGGGCAACCGUAUCGACUGAUCUGACACCUCAACACCGGCUAGCACCACAGCCACCGCUUCUCUCAACCCCAGCACCCAAAAUCAUCAUAACCUUGACCACAUACAAUAGGUGACAGGCACUUUCCAAAGAGAUACAUCCCACUGGGGACACACUGGUUGAAUCAACGUUGUUUCCACGUCAUUUCAAUGAAAUGGCGUUGAACCAACGUGGAAUAUACGUUGAAUUGAUGCCUGUGCCCUGUGGGAUAUAUCAUAAUGCUGUUUAUUCAUCAAUGUUUAUGACAUACAUUUUGAAAAACUACAUCUAAUGACUUACUUUUUUUUAAUACCGGCAGACCGGAUAGUUUAAAUCAUUCAUUAUUUUGCCUGUUUAAUUGUAUAUGUAAUAUACAUAAAUAAACACCAAAUUAUGGACACAAAUUGUAUUUUGGAAUAUUUCUAAUACAUUUCUGAAGGAUAGUGUAUGUACAUUCAGUGUUUAUGGAUAAGUCAUAUCAGAGUUUAAAGACCGAUUUGACAAUGUUAUGAGAAUGCAGCAGAAAGAGACUAUUCUUAAAGUCUGAAAUGACAUGUAUUACUGGUUGUCAUUACACAGAGUGCCAGUGAGGUUACCACUCACAAGAGUAAACAUUUUACAACUCAAUGUCAAAUAUUUACUUCUUGUUACACGUGUAACAAUUUCCUCAAUUCAGUGUUCUUUGCUGUCGGCAAUGACACAAGCAAUAUCUAAUUCAACUUAUUUCUGACAACUGUGGAGACUAAGGCCUACAUUCAAUCUGUAGCAUGGAAGGUCCGUUGUAUAGCACGAUUGAAAUUUAAAGGUAAUUUCCGAUUGACUCAACAUAUCCAACAUUUACCGUGAAUGCAGUCUCCUCGAACGCAGGAACAUUUCUUUUUUUCCUUUUGGUACGGAUUGAAUCUAGCUCUAGAAGUCAAAAGGAAUUGCCACACUGUUCCUGUUUGGCCUUUCAGUUGAUUCAUUUGAUAAAAAUGUCCCCACUAUCAAUGUCAUUUAUAGUCACAUAUUGUCAGAUUAUGUAUAACGCUGUAUAGACAUAUAUUUUAUUUUACUAUAUAUUCAGUGAUGCUCAACUUUUCUAUCUACCUCUUCAAUUUUAUCCUUCUCUAAAGUAUGUAGUUGAUGGAAAAAAAUGUUUUUUGUUUGUGAAAACACAAAAGAAGAGGCCAUUAUCAGAAUACAGAUUUGUAAACCAAAAUAUUUUUAAAUAAAGCUCA